GAUGAACGCUGGCGGCGUGCCUAAUACAUGCAAGUCGAGCGAAGGAAGUAGCGAUAUUUUCUUAGCGGCGAACGGGUGAGUAACGCGUUGGUGACCUGCCUCGAAGCGUGGGAUAACAGUUCGAAAGGAUUGCUAAUACCGCAUGUGGUGGUAGAGAUUAGAAGCUCUACGACUAAAGGAGAAAUUCACUUCGAGAGGGGCCUGCGUCCCAUCAGCUAGUUGGUGAGGUAAAAGCCCACCAAGGCGAUGACGGGUAGGGGACCUGAGAGGGUGGCCCCCCACAAUGGAACUGAAACACGGUCCAUACACCUACGGGUGGCAG
Molecule: ribosomal RNA, 322 nt
Filed under: uncultured Chloroflexota bacterium
Lineage: Bacteria; Bacillati; Chloroflexota
Description: bacterial SSU rRNA
Rfam family: Bacterial small subunit ribosomal RNA
Source: RNAcentral